GGAGUCUGGACCGUCUCUCAGUUCCAAUGUGACCGUUCAUCCUCUCAGACCGGUUACCGAUCGUCGGCUUGGUAAGCCGUUACCUUACCAACUACCUAAUCGGACGCAGGCUCCUCGCAAAGCGAUAAAUCUUUAAUAUAAAUACCAUGCGGCACCUAUAUAACAUUCGGUAUUAGCAGCCCUUUCGGACUGUUGUCCCCAUCUUUGCGGCAGAUUGCCUACGCGUUACUCACCCGUUUGCCACUAGGACCGAAGUCCCCGUUCGACUUGCAUGUGUUAAGCACGCCGCCAGCGUCGUCCUCGAGCCACGGAGUCAACUACU
Molecule: ribosomal RNA, 322 nt
Filed under: uncultured Veillonellaceae bacterium
Lineage: Bacteria; Bacillati; Bacillota; Negativicutes; Veillonellales; Veillonellaceae
Description: partial 16S ribosomal RNA
Source: RNAcentral